Molecule: long non-coding RNA, 1618 nt
Organism: Dromaius novaehollandiae (emu)
Lineage: Eukaryota; Metazoa; Chordata; Aves; Casuariiformes; Dromaiidae
Source: Ensembl
CUGGCAGCGAGCGCAGAGAGCGCGCGGCGGCGGCGGCGGAGCUGGGCGUGGCAGGUGGACCGCACCGCACCGCACCGCACCGCACCGCACCGCACCGCGCGGCUCCGGCAGCGCCGAGGGUCUCCGUGCCGCGGGGGGGGCGCGGCAGCGGCAGUCGGCGGGGCUCGGCGGCUGUGGGUGCACGUGUCGUGUCCUCCCACACGCACAAAAUUUGCUGUGUUUUUUUUCUUCUUCUUCUCUCCAGCGUGAGCAGUGGGGGGAAAUUUUUUCAUUUUUCACUGCAGUUUUUAAUUUUUCAGUUCCAAGGGUUGCGUUAUUUUUCAAGCCCCGAAUUGCGUAGCGACCAGCGGAGCAUGCGAUGCCACAUGAGCUGAUGCACAAAGCUGUCUGCAUCCUGAAGAAGACCACAGAAUGCCUGGGAAAGGAGAACUCCAAAAAAGACCUCCAGUUCGAGAUGGCUCCCCAAACACAACUUGAGCAUACAGUUGCCUUCAUAGAAGAGGUGUUAGUGCCUGUUCUAAGCAAUAAGAAAAACCAUAGAUCCUGGCCAGGCUUUAUUUCCAGAGAUACGGAGCAGUAUGUGGAAACUGUGAAAAAUAAAACAAGUUAUGAAAGGACUGAUAUCAGGAAGAACUCUUCUUCUCAUUCCUGCAGUUGUAGCAAAGAUUGACUUCCAUCAAAUACAUGCUGAAAAUAAGACUAUUGUGUGAUCUAUGCAACACAGCAAAGAAUGGCUGUUUUGGUAGAUUUUUAAGUCAUGGAUGUAAACUGGUAGUAAAUUCAUGAGAAAGUAAUUGAAUAUUUAAAAAUUAUGCUUGUAACACUUUGAUAAUCAUUCCUUUAAGCACUUAAAAGAUGUUUUAAAGUGUAUUUUAUGUGAUUAGUAUAUUUUAAACACUGUAAUUGCUGCCAUAUGAAAAUAUGAUUUCUAAGAACUUAGGUUUUGGGUCUCUGUUUCAAAAGUGAGAUUCAAGCUGUUUGCAGAGUCGCCAAAAAUUUGAACUACAUGAAAUAUGCUUUCAGAGUUAAGAAAAAUAAGAUUACUUUGUUGGAUUUCCUUUUGCAUGUAUUCUUAAUAGAUCACAUUUCUCUGUAGCCUUGAGCAUUUCAUGCGAACUUAACUUUCAGAUAAAGUGUCUCAUUGUUUUCAAAAGGAGUGUGGCAGCAAUCAUUGUAAUGCACAUUUAUUUACAGGAAAAAAAAAUUAUAUGAGCAAUGUCCCAGAAAACUAACUAUUUUAGUUUUUUUAAAAAAAAUAGGAGUGACUUUAUACAGAGGUGAUUAACUAUCAAUUGCUGGAGAGCAAAGAUUAUUAGUCUUGCCCAUAACAAAUAAUAGUGGUUCUGGUUGGGGUCAGCUCCUUGUUGUAUGACAUGUCAAUGUGGUAGGUGUGCCAGGCAAAAUAGUGCAAAUGUGGAGCUAAAACUGAGGAAGAAGAGAUGAGCUAGCUUAAAUGAAAGCCUUGAGCAAAAAAUAGAGUAUGAAAGAGAACAUAAACUUAUGUUCCAUUAAUAUUUGUUAGAAUGCUUUGCCAUGUAAGUCAUAUUGCCAGUGUUUACAGAAAGAUGAACUAAUGAAGUAUAAUAAAAUAGAUAAGCUAAAAUAUAUUUAAUUUUUA